AGAGGUGGGCCCGACAGCUGUGGGAAACACAUUCUUGCCUGGUUCUCUCCCGGCCAGUCAGCUGAAGCAGAGGCCCUGCCUACCCAGAGAUUUUCUCAAAGCAGCACGGCUCCAGGGCCUGCUCUAAAGAAAGCCAUAAACCUGAAGCUACUAAGGUCUGGCUCCAGGAAAUCCUGAAUCCAGGAAGGAUGCUCAGCGGGACAGAAUUGAAGACAAUAGUUCAUCAUCUUUCCUUCCCAGGAUCGAGAAUAUCCCAAGGAAAUGCCAAGUAAAAAAGUAAAAUCAGCGAUUGAUUUUGCGUUUGGAGAACUGACCACGUUUCUUGAUCAAAUGCCGAUUGCAAGUCUGAGUCAAGGUUGAGCAUAUAAAGGAAUCCUCCCGGGUACCUCCCCUUGGGGUCUUCACAUGAUGUGAUUUUGAAAAACCAGACUCGGGCGAUCAGAGACCUCACUGCGGAGGAAAUGAAGGAUGCCUCGCUUCCAAUACCUGGCUCCCAUGAACACUCCCUCGGGUCCCUGCUAGCGCCAGCCUGAGACAGAGAGCGCUUCCUGUCCUGCUGACUGCAGAAGUUAAACGGAAUCUCCACUCCCGGAUUGAGGAAAGAAAGGCGUCUUCCUGUUGAUUUUCGCGAGGCUGCUGACCUUCGCGGCGCCCCGACUGGGCCCACCCCGCGGAGCUGUCGGGGCAGCAGGCGCCCAGGACUUCCUGAAUCCCCGGCCCCUCUGGCCUAACCUAGAUCUCCCAGGACUCAGGCCUGGGAAAAUCACGGCGUCUGCCAGGCCCUCCUCGCAGGCUUUGCAGUUUGCUAACUCGCGGUGCGGCCUUGGGACAGUGCCUCAGUUUCCCCAAGUGUAGUGAAGUAGGGCUGGACCGUGAUUCUCAGAAUCACCCAAGAAGCUUUUCCAGCAUCGCCUGCCAGGGUGUCCCUGGGGACCCACCGGAUCGGAGAGGGGGUCGGGGGCGAAAAGCGCCAGGAGGCUGGCAGCCCGGGCUGGAACCCGGGACUCGGGCUCGCCCGCCUCGGCAGCUACUCCACGGUCUGCCUGGCCCCGGAGCUCGCCUUCGGCCUGGGCGGGGUCUUGCGCGUCUCCGGGCCGGUUCCGGGAGGCCGGGCGGGGCGGGGCGGGCCGGGCUGGGUUGUCCCACCGGAAAGACUCGUUUCAGCUGGAGCAGGCGGCGGCCGGGCGGAAACAGACUUGUCGCCCCCGCCUCGGGCACUCCCCGCUCCCCCACCCCACCACCCUCCCCCCCCGCCCUGCGCGGCCCGCCAGGGUCCGGGAAUCGCUGGCCUGCAGCUGGGGCAGCCCCGGGUCACCCCCGCCCACGCCUUCCCCGCCCACAGGACGCGCCCCCUAGGCCACACCUGAGCUCGCCCUGCGGUCCCGGGCAGUGACUCCGCCGAGCCUCGGUGGGGGAGGGGACAGGGGAGAGAAUAGGGAAGAGGGGCGCGAUCUGUGUCUGGGACCCGUUGCCAAGAAACCCGACCCUCGGGCUCUGGCCAUCAGCAGCCGCGGUGCAGCUGCCUCCCCCUGCCUCCAGGUCGCCCAGCAGAGCUUUCUAGAGCUGGGUGCUCAGAAGACCCCAGGCGGAGGCAAGAACCUUGGGCCGCGGCUCUGUGGGAAAAGCCCUCGGGGAAGCCAGACGGCGCGCUCCAGCUCCCCAUCGCGGGCGUGGGCCCCGGGGUGGAGGCAGUUGGGUCGCGGCCCUGCCACCCCCAUGCUGCACGGCCUCGGCCCAGUGCCACCACCUCUGUGGGCCGCCGUUUCAGCCUCCAGAUGGGGUGGCGGCGGGCCCCAGCCCUUGCCCCAAGUCUCUAAGGAAGGGUCUGGCCUGGCCCGCCCAGAUCCGAGCUGCUGCGUACGCGCGGGGCUGGGAGCUGCAAAAACGCCCGGGGCCCAGGGUGAGCGGCUGGGCCCUCGGGGGACCCGGCGCGCGCGGGGGCUCCAGCUCCGCCCUGUUGGGGGCCAGAGCAGGAGGGAGGCCGCCCCAGCUUGUUCUGGGCCGCAGCCCUGCCGACCGCACGGGACAGGCGCCGCGUCCUCUCUGGGCCUCCAAGACGCAGACUAGAAGCCCAUAGCUGCUGGGAAGAUGGGCACCCCAGGUCUCCGCGCACGGCCUUCCCAGGGCCACGGUGAAACAUGGAUGCGACACUCAGGCACCUUCCCGGCCCCCGGCGAAAACGCAAAGCCUGAGCCCAUGAUGGGCUCGGAAGCUCUGCGGGAUUGAGUCAUCAGAGGAAUGCUGAUCUAGAAGUACAAUGGCUGGAAGACACCCGCAGAAACCGCGGGCACUGGAGAGCAAGUGCAGCUUUAAUCUCCAGGCGUGAUUUAGAUGGAAAGCAGCCUGAAGACCAGUUAAGAGAACCGCGAGCAGAGCGCGCUGGACUAGCACCAACAGACGUGAGUUCGAGACCGUCCUGCCCCUUAAUCCUGUGUGACCUUGGUCCAUUUUUUAAGUCUGUGAGCCUCGCAGUGUUCUCAUUCCUGAAAAGAGCCUGCCCCAUCUCCGGACUGCAGUGAGAACAAAAGGAGACUAUGAACAUGACUUUUUGCCACUUUUGAAGCCCCACACUGAGGAAAGAUUUUCCUAGCACUUGGGAGAUUUUCUUUAGCACCAGCUGCCAAGAAUGCUGGGAAGGAGACAGCCCCAUCCCAGAAGGAAGACACCUUAAAUCAGAACUUUAUUUUUCCUCCUAUGAAAAUACAAUCUAAUACUGGAGAAGUGUAAAAAUUAAGGAGUCAUUAGAAGCCAUUUGUUGUUGUUGUUGUUGUUAUUGUUUUGAGACAGGAUCUUACUCUGUCACCCAGGCUGGAGUGAGGUGGCACGAUCAUUGCUCACUGUAGCCUCCAACUCCUGGACUCAAACAAUCCUCCCUUCUCGGCCUCCCAAGUACCUGGGACGAGAGGUGCACUGGGCGUGGUAGCACACAUCUGUAGUCCCAGGUACUUUAGAAGCCGAGAAGGGAGGUCUCACUAUUUUGCCCAGGCUGGUCUCCAACUCCUGGGAUCAAGCCAUCCUCUUGCCUCGGCUUCCCAAAGUGUUGGGAUUAUAGGUGUGAGCCACCACUCCCAGCCUGUUGUUUUAACUUUCUAUCAAAGAAAUGGAUGGAGGGUGGACAGGGAUGCUGGGUGCUUUAGAUUAGACUUGAAAGAGUUAACAGCAUAGGUUACAGAAUCACACAUACCCGAAUUGGAAUCUCAUCUUGACCCUUUACUACCACUGUUUCGUUAUGUUAGUGACUUAACCUCUCUGUGCUUCAGUUUCUUCAUCUGUAAAAUGAAGAAAAUGGCACCAACCUGUGGGGUUGUUGAGAAGAUGAAAUGCAAUAGUGAAUGUAAAAGUGCCUGACAGGACCCAGCACGUGGUAAUACAUAAUAAAUGCUAGCUAGUUUUGGUUUCCA
RNAcentral lists this long non-coding RNA (3401 nucleotides) under Homo sapiens (human). RNAcentral describes it as "S-phase upregulated non-coding 1 (SUNO1)". Lineage: Eukaryota; Metazoa; Chordata; Mammalia; Primates; Hominidae. The record is from RNAcentral.